Molecule: non-coding RNA, 29 nt
Filed under: Rattus norvegicus (Norway rat)
Lineage: Eukaryota; Metazoa; Chordata; Mammalia; Rodentia; Muridae
Source: RNAcentral
UAAAUUUGCCGGCGAAGAAACAAUGGUAG